CGCGUAGGUGGUUUAACAAGUUGAAGGUGAAAUUUCGAGGCUCAACCUUGAAGCAGCCUUUAAAACUGUUAGACUAGAGUGUAUGCGGAGAAGACGGAAUUUCACGUGUAGCGGUGAAAUGCGUAGAUAUGUGAAGGAACACCGGUGGCGAAAGCGGUUUUCUAGCAUACGUCUGACACUAAGGCGCGAAAGCGAGGGGAGCAAACA
Molecule: ribosomal RNA, 207 nt
Filed under: uncultured bacterium
Lineage: Bacteria
Description: partial 16S ribosomal RNA
Rfam family: Bacterial small subunit ribosomal RNA
Source: RNAcentral